AUGGCUGUCGUCAGCUCGUGUCGUGAGAUGUUGGGUUAAGUCCCGCAACGAGCGCAACCCUCACUUUUAGUUGCCAUCAUUAAGUUGGGCACUCUGAAAGAACUGCCAGUGAUAAGCUGGAGGAAGGUGGGGAUGACGUCAAGUCCUCAUGGCCCUUACGUGUUGGGCUACACACGUGCUACAAUGGUAUCUACAACAGGAAGCAAAACGGCAACGUUAAGCAAAUCCCGAAAAGAUACCUCAGUUCGGAUUGCACUCUGCAACUCGAGUGCAUGAAGCUGGAAUUACUAGUAAUCGUGGAUCAGCGUGCCACGGUGAAUGCGUUCCCGGGUCUUGUACACACCGCCCGUCACACCAUGGGAGUUGGUUCUACCUUAAGGCAAGGUUUUAAACCCUUGACCACGGUAUAGUCAGCGACUGGGGUGAAGUCGUAACAAGGUAGCCGUAGGGGAACCUGCGGCUGGAUUACCUCCUUUCUAAGGAUGAGUGAAAGUAAAAUUUCACUCUAAAUAAUAUACAUCGGUAAUGUUGACCGUCCUCAUUUCUCUUCUUAAAGUAAUGUUUCCUUCUUGUAGGGCCGGUAGCUCAGUUGGUUAGAGCACACCCUUGAUAAGGGUGGGGUCGAAAGUUCGAGUCUUUCUCGGCCCACCAAAAACCUAAAUGGGGGAUUAGCUCAUCUGGGAGAGCGCCUGAUUUGCAUUCAGGAGGUAGCAGGUUCGAUCCCUGUAUCCUCCACCAGGAAACAUUUAGUUAUUAAAACUGUAAAUAAAAAUAAUUUAUAUCAAUAUCUAUAUCCGAACAUUAAAAGUUAUUAUUUAAUGUUCAAAAUAAAAAUUUGAUCACAACACAGAUAAAUUUUCUUUAAUAAGAAUUUUUUUCUGUGCAUAAAUCAAGCGUUUAAGGGCGUGUAGUGGAUGCCUUGGCACUGAAAGCCGAUGAAGGACGUGAUAUACUGCGAUAAGUUUCGGGGAGCUGUAUGUAAGCUUUGAUCCGAAAAUUUCCGAAUGGGGAAACCCGG
Molecule: small RNA, 1018 nt
Filed under: uncultured bacterium
Lineage: Bacteria
Description: bacterial SSU rRNA
Rfam family: Bacterial small subunit ribosomal RNA (bases 1-476)
Source: RNAcentral